AGUGAACGCUGGCGGUAGGCCUAACACAUGCAAGUCGAACGGCAGCACAGUAAGAGCUUGCUCUUACGGGUGGCGAGUGGCGGACGGGUGAGGAAUACAUCGGAAUCUACUUUUUCGUGGGGGAUAACGUAGAGAAACUUACGCUAAUACCGCAUACGACCUACGGGUGAAAGCAGGGGAUCUUCGGGCCUUGCGCGAUUGAAUGAGCCGAUGUCGGAUUAGCUAGUUGGCGGGGUAAAGGCCCACCAAGGCGACGAUCCGUAGCUGGUCUGAGAGGAUGAUCAGCCACACUGGAACUGAGACACGGUCCAGACUCCUACGGGAGGCAGCAGUGGGGAAUAUUGGACAAUGGGCGCAAGCCUGAUCCAGCCAUACCGCGUGGGUGAAGAAGGCCUUCGGGUUGUAAAGCCCUUUUGUUGGGAAAGAAAAGCAGCAGGUUAAUACCCCGCUGUUCUGACGGUACCCAAAGAAUAAGCACCGGCUAACUUCGUG
This 492-nucleotide ribosomal RNA is filed under the name uncultured bacterium. Its description in RNAcentral is "partial 16S ribosomal RNA". It matches the Rfam family "Bacterial small subunit ribosomal RNA", at positions 29 to 507 of the family's 1533-position model. The record is from RNAcentral.